Melampsora americana is the source of this 93-nucleotide non-coding RNA. The record is from the annotation of a GenBank genome assembly. NCBI's taxonomy places the organism in Eukaryota, Fungi, Basidiomycota, Pucciniomycetes, Pucciniales, Melampsoraceae.
GGUUUGGUGGUCUAGUAGUAUGAUUCACCCUUAGGGUUCUUCAGAAUUGAGGUUACUUGGGUGAGGUCCCGGGUUCAAUUCCCGGCCAGACCC